CAAUAGCGUAUAUUAAAGUUGUUGCAGUUAAAAAGCUCGUAGUUGGAUUUCUGGCUGGAGCGAUCGGUCCGCCCCGCAAGGGGUGUGUACUAGCGUCGUCUCCGACCAUCCUUGUGGGAACUGUGCGGCCGUUAACUCGGUUGUAUAUGGGAACACAUCGUUUACUGUGAGAAAAUUAGAGUGUUCAAAGCAGGUUUAUGCCUGAAUAUUGCUCUUGGAAUGAUAAAAUACGACUUUGGUUCGAAUGUAUUGGUGAUUUGGACCAGAGUAAUGAUUGAUAGGGACGGUUGGGGCUUCACGUACUGCAAAGCGAGAGGUGAAAUUCUUGGACCUUUGUAUGACGAACAACUGCGAAAGCAUUUGGCUAGGACGUUCCCGUUGAUCAAGAACGAAAGUUAGGGGAUCGAAGAUGAUCAGAUACCAU
This 424-nucleotide ribosomal RNA is filed under the name uncultured eukaryote. RNAcentral describes it as "bacterial SSU rRNA". It matches the Rfam family "Eukaryotic small subunit ribosomal RNA", at positions 592 to 1018 of the family's 1831-position model. The record is from RNAcentral.